This 164-nucleotide ribosomal RNA is filed under the name Tetradium ruticarpum. RNAcentral's name for it is "5.8S ribosomal RNA". It matches the Rfam family "5.8S ribosomal RNA". Rfam says of the family: 5.8S ribosomal RNA (5.8S rRNA) is a component of the large subunit of the eukaryotic ribosome. It is transcribed by RNA polymerase I as part of the 45S precursor that also contains 18S and 28S rRNA. Lineage: Eukaryota; Viridiplantae; Streptophyta; Magnoliopsida; Sapindales; Rutaceae. The record is from RNAcentral.
AUAACGACUCUCGGCAACGGAUAUCUCGGCUCUCGCAUCGAUGAAGAACGUAGCGAAAUGCGAUACUUGGUGUGAGUUGCAGAAUCCCGUGAACCAUCGAGUCUUUGAACGCAAGUUGCGCCCCAAGCCUUUAGGCCGAGGGCACGUCUGCCUGGGUGUCACGC